GGGGCUGUAGCUCAGUGGUAGAGCACCUGUCCAGGACAUAGAAGGGUUGGAGUUCAAACUCCAGUACCA
RNAcentral lists this transfer RNA (69 nucleotides) under Cavia porcellus (domestic guinea pig). It matches the Rfam family "tRNA". Rfam says of the family: Transfer RNA (tRNA) molecules are approximately 80 nucleotides in length. Their secondary structure includes four short double-helical elements and three loops (D, anti-codon, and T loops). The record is from Rfam by way of RNAcentral. Lineage: Eukaryota; Metazoa; Chordata; Mammalia; Rodentia; Caviidae.